AAGUUUGUGGUGAAAACAUUUAGUCUGCUCAGAGCAGACAUCUUGACCCUCGUUCUAGGGUUAAUGAGCUUGUCUGCUGACGUUCUCAGCGUUCUUGGAGCAGCCGUAACAGUCUGCUCUUCUACUGAUGUGACAGGUACUUAUGAAUUACCUGUCAAUACACUGUCAGAAAAUUAAAUAAGAGUUUCUGUUGGAAGAGAAGAAUGGGUUUCCAAAAAUAUUUCUAGUUCUGUCAAGUCCUCAGAAUUUAUCUGGACUUGUAACUCUUGAAGUAGCUUACAGAAUAUAAGAUAAAUGAGUAUGAAGUAUGCUGCAGCUGAGGAAUGGGGAUGGCUAUCUCUAAUCAGUUGGUUACUCCUGAUAGUGAGGUAGCAGCUAAACUAAAUACAGCAAUAAGCAUGGUAUUGGCAUAGUAUCUAAAAGAGGAAAAACUAUUCCAGUACGUGGUCCCUGCUGUCACUUAGCAGCCAUAAGAAAUAUCUAAGCAUACUAUCUUCAUCAUUGACUAAUAAUAAAAGUCUAUAACAAAAUGCCGUGGCUCUUGUAGGAGCUCUCACCUACCAAAUCAGUGAUAUCCACAUUAAAAAAAAAACAAAUGCAAUGACUUAUUUCAGAAAGGGUUUGGAGAGAACAGUGCCAUCUUUUCCAUGCACACCGUUACCCAUGUCCAGCACAGUAAUACUUCCCAAAUUCCCAGCCCUGGACAUCCUUCAUCACUACCUGAGGUAGAGUGCCAUGAAAUGAUUUUUUGAGAAAGCAAGCGGAUUCAGUUUUUCCUACCUGCGUUAGUGCCCUGCUAGAGCAUCAGCCACAAUGUCUAAGAAACGUAAACGGUACUUUCAUUGUCAUAUACAGCAGCCAUUGCUUUUAUGUCUUGCAAAAGUAGAUGGAAAUGUUUUCUCCUGUCAUUUUACUUCAGCUAAGUCAUUUUGAGUCUUGCUGUUGUCAUCCAUUACACAUUCUUGCCUGAUCUCUGCCUCCUAGCUAUUCCUGCUGGUGAGCUUCUCCCUGGAACCCAGAAAUGUGAGUCAGAUCAAGGCUUUUACGUAAUCUCCCAAGUUGCCAGCACCCAAACAUAAAGCCUUGGAUGUUCUUGGCCCUACUCCAGUUGCAGGUACUCAGACUUCUUAUCCUGUGCACUGGCUACUCACUAGCUUAUCUUAGCAAAUGGAGGUUUACUCCUCUUCACACAUGCCCACUCAGAACAGAGCACACCCACACAGGAUGUAGAUGGAAGUAGGAUCAAUGAGAAGAUACAAUAGCUUGUGCUGCUCAAGCGCAGGUCUGUCAGACAACAUACCGACCAGCAGCCUCUUUGCAUGCAGCUGACUCCCUGUAGCCCCGUUCCCUCUAUUUUCCUGCACCUGAUACUUCUCGAGCCUUCCUUUUCCCCACCUUUGGUCCUUCUUUUAAACAUCCUGUAAGUCUCAUCAAUUCGCAGAAACACCUUAAACCAUCUCAUACUACAUUUUAAAUCUCCAGAACUUGUUUUCCCCUGCAUCCUAUAUUCUGCUGUAGGCAAUGACCCCCUUCAGUCUCCAAGCCAUACAGGAAGGGAGUGUUUCUCCUUGUCCCAUCUCAGUGAGUUUCACCCCAGAGCAACAGGCUUAUCGUCCUGCUUUUAUCGCCCUAAGAGUAGCAACUUGCUUGACUCCUACCACUGCUCAGGUUACUAGAGCUCCUUCCUUGUCAUUGUUCAUCUGAUCCUCAGCUGGGCCUUUGUGUUUAUGAUGAUUAGCCUGUAAUCUUAUAACCUAACGUCACAGGUGCAUGCUUUCUCCUGCGCUGCUGCACUAGACCAAAUACUAGCUCAGAUGCGAAUGGAUAAAUAUUUGCUGGGGUAGAGUGGAACCGGAAUUCUUCAGCUGAGGAAUACCAUACCAUGGAGAUACACGCUAGGCUGUGAACAAACUUGUCAGCCCUGCACAAAACUGUGGGAACACUCAGGUUGGAGUGGUGGUAGAAGGAUAUCGUGGAGACUCAAAGCAUAUGUGAAUGCUGGACCUACUGAGGCUUAGACAAGUCACCUCAUCUCACUGAAGGAUCCCAUCAAAACCCUCGUUCCUUUAGGGAGGUUUGAGAAAGACAGCCUAGCAAGAUCACACCACAGUGGCUCCAAGUCAAUGCUGGAGCCUACGACAUGGCACAGAUCAGUCUUCCAGAAGACAUCCUGACCUCACCCAAAUGGCAAGACGGAGAAUUCACGGGCUUCUGCUGUGACUGACGGUGACAUUUUCCUUAGUUGCCUUCCUUGUUCCUCAUCUCACCUGCUUAGUUUAACCUUCCAGCCUCUUAAGUGGCUGUGAGGGAAGGAAAUGGCCCUAUUUGUGCACCUCCUGAAGCAUCUGAGUAGCACAUUAGGCACAGCUUGGGCAGGCGCAUGACGGUGCUGGAUGCUUGGCAAGUGGUCUUGUUUCCUCCAUACCCCCUCCUUUGGGUUAAUGUCCCUUCUUUUCAUGCCAGGCCACCCAUGGGCUUCCUCCCAGGGACGGCCUCCUGGAGGUGGCCCUUUCCCACCCCGCAGGAUGGGGCCGUGCUGUGACUGCCCGUCUGUGGGGAGGGACACCUACCACCCGCUGUGCAUGCCCCCAGCAGGGGUGGUCCCAGGCAGCCGGAGCCUCGAGAUGUGGCUGCUCUGGGGUUGCUGCCCUCACCCUCCCAAGCCAAGCAGCAGAGCUCCUUCCCUAAGGGCUGCAUCGCCUGCCCAGGCAGCAGCGAGGGCUGCAGCAGCAGCAGGGAGGUCUGGCUCCCCUGCUCUCUCUCUUCAUUCCUUUUCCUCUGCAGGUAGGUUAGGACAGGGGAAAAUAAAAUACUCAUAAAAGUUCCCGAUAUUUGGAAUAACAGAAUCAUAGUUUUACAAGUUAUCUUAGGAGAUUCUGAAUCAUGAACAAUUAUUUUCUUCAAGCAUCUCCACACCUUCGUCUCCCACCCUCACAUCAACAGACACUCUGCUACCUCCCUGUGAGCAGCGAUGCACCUGUGCUGCAGCUGACAUUCAACUUGGGAAAUUUCUUGUGUUUAAUACUGAAAUCAACCUCCCCCAGACAUUUAACCUUCUCUCCCCAUAAUGCAUCCUGGAGGAAAUCAAGAAAAAUCCAUUUAGAGGAAUCACGGUGUUACCUGAAGUAUGCAUGUACCAAUCUGUAUUUUUGAACAUGAAAAUAAAGUAUUUUUUGCCUUUCCCUUCUGUUUUGUUUUAGAGAGAAUGACACUCAGAAUAGAUACAAGCAUUUGACUAUUCCAAAUACUUUAAAAACAUCAGUAAGUUGAAGAAAUUUACUGAACUUACUACUGCAACAAUGAAACAGGACAAGGCAGCUUUGCAGUAAAUAGAAAUGACAACAUAGUCCCAAAAUAUUGUCCAAAAAUCCUGUCCCAAAUAGGAGUUUUCCUAUUUUAUUUUCUUAUUCUUUUUCACUUUUGGCAGGUUCUUUUUUGGAUCAGGUCAACAUAAUCAUUAAAUAAAAUUUUAUUUUAUUUUAAAUUUAAAUUUUAGAUUUUCCUGGACAAUCUAAUAUUUUAUUUACUAAACAGCAUUAUAUUAUUUACAAGUGCUACAUCUUAUUCUGCCUAUGUUAUAGAGUAUUAGCCAGCACUCUUAAAAUUUUAAGCUAAAUUCUGAUUUACCUGGUUUGAGUCUUAAGAAAUGUUGUUGAACUGAAGUACAAUUGUAAAUAAACCAGUAUCAGGCGAUCCAG
Non-coding RNA from Phalacrocorax carbo (great cormorant), 3698 nucleotides. NCBI's taxonomy places the organism in Eukaryota, Metazoa, Chordata, Aves, Suliformes, Phalacrocoracidae. The record is from RefSeq and is a predicted model, not a curated record.